AGAGUUUGAUCCUGGCUCAGAGCGAACGUUAGCGGCGGGCUUUACACAUGCAAGUCGAGCGAGAAAUUGCCCUUCGGGGCAUGAGUAAAGCGGCGCACGGGUGAGUAACGCGUGGGUAAUCUACCGUUCGGCGCGGGACAACAACUCGAAAGAGUUGCUAAUACCGCAUACGUCGACAAUCACUUCGGGGAUUGUCGGGAAAGGGUGGCCUCUACUUGUAAGCUAUCGCCGAAUGAUGAGCCCGCGUCCCAUCAACUUGUUGGUAAGGUAACGGCUUACCAAGGCGAAGACGGGUAGCUGGUCUGAGAGGAUGAUCAGCCACACUGGGACUGAGACACGGCCCAGACUCCUACGGGAGGCAGCAGUGGGGAAUAUUGGACAAUGGGCGAAAGCCUGAUCCAGCCACGCCGCGUGUGUGAUGAAGGCCUUCGGGUCGUAAAGCACUGUGGGGGGAGACGAACAUGCCAGAGGUUAAUAUCCUCUGGAGCUGACGGUAUCCCCUUAGCAAGCACCGGCUAACUCCGUGCCAGCAGCCGCGGUAAUACGGAGGGUGCAAACGUUGCUCGGAAUUAUUGGGCGUAAAGCGCGUGUAGGCGGUCCGUUAAGUCGAGUGUGAAAGCCCUGGGCUCAACCUA
RNAcentral lists this ribosomal RNA (635 nucleotides) under uncultured delta proteobacterium. RNAcentral describes it as "bacterial SSU rRNA". It matches the Rfam family "Bacterial small subunit ribosomal RNA", at positions 8 to 616 of the family's 1533-position model. The record is from RNAcentral. Lineage: Bacteria; Deltaproteobacteria.